CGUCAGCUCCUGCUCGAUUUUCUUCUCCAGGAACUCCUGUUUCUUGCUUAACAUCUCUUCCGUGUCCCGCAGCCGCUGGAUGGCCUCCUGGGGGGUCGGGCCGCCCUUGCCGGCCUUACCCCCUCCAGCCCCGAACAGCUUCCCGAACACCGACAUGGUUGCUGCUCGCCGCGCCGGCCUUCGCCGCCCGCUCCGGCUCGGCUCGGCUCGGCUCGGCUCGGGUCGGCUCCGGCGCCCGCUCCCAGUCCCGCCGCUCCCUGCCGCCGCAGGCCUCUCCUCCGCCUCCGCCUCCGCCCCGCAGCUGGGCCCGGCCGCGCCACCUCCCACAGGCCCCCACGCCCGGCCCGGCAGGCGUCAGGGCAACGCGCCACUGACUACAACUCCCAGUGGGCAACGCGCCGGCCGCGCCUCAAAUCUAAUAGGGGGAAGCGUGCUGCAUGCCGGGAAGCUAUAGUCUUCCGGCUUCAGGCGCUCCCCGGCGCGUCUUUUGCUGUAGCUGGGGUCAAAGGGCGUGUGGCAUUCUGGGAAAUGUAGUCUCCUUGGCCUGCGCUCUGUAGGAGUGGCAGAACAGUAAGAGAAAUGACAGUAAGUGUGCAACACUGCUCAAAAAUUUAUUGCUAGUAUGGGAUACUGCCAUGCUUGAACUUCACAUGUAUAUUCAUGUGAAGUUGUCUUAAAAGCGUGAAGGCAACAGUUGUUUCCAAUUUCAACCUGUCAAUUCUGUGGUCACAGAAGCAAAGCAGUAUCUUCUCCAGUUAAGUACGGUAGUGUCCCCCUUAUCUGAGAUUUUACUUUGAGUAGUUUCACUUGGCCAGCUAAGGUCUGACAGUAUUAAAUAGAAAAUUCCAGAAAUAAACAGUUCAUAAGUUUUUAAUUUCCAUUGGCCUAAUGAAAUCUCGUGCUAUCCUGUUCCAUCCUACCUGCAAUGUGAAUCAUCCCUUUGUCCAACAUACCUCUACCAUCUGUUAGUUACUUACCAGCUUAGGAGUUAUCAGAUGGACUGCCACGGUGUUGCAGUGCUUUGGUUCGAGUAACCCUCAUUUUACUAUAUAAUGGCCCCAAAGUGCAAGAGUAGUAAUGCUGGCAGUUUGGAUAUGCCAAAAUGAAGCUGUAAAGUGCUUCCUUUAAAUGUAAAUGUGGAAGUUCUGAGCUUAAGAAAAAAAAUCGUAUGCUGAGCUUACUGAGGUCUGCAGUAAGAACGAAUCUUCUAGCCCUAGAAUUGUGAAAGAGGAAAAAGAAAUUCAUGCUGGUUUUGCUGUCGUACCUCAAACUGCAAAAGUUACAGCCACAGUGUGUGAUAAGUGCUUAGUUAAGAUAGAAAAGGCAUUAAGUUGUAUCCUUACUUACAGGGGAAAAAAAGAAAAUAAAUUUUUUUACAAAAGAAAAGAAAAAGCAUUAAGCUUAUACGUGGAAGACACGAACAAAAAAUGUGUUCCAACUGACAGCAACCUGUUACCCCCCAGAAAGCAUUGAGCCUGUAUAAAGGCUUCAGCAAGGAAUCUCCUAAAACCAGUGGCACCAAGCCACUUACUGAAAGUAAUGGAUGGUUGCACUGACUUAGGAAUAGGUUUAGACUGCAAAAUAUAAAAAUUACUGGAUGGGCUGGGCACAGUGGCUCACACCUGUAAUCUCAGCACUCUGGC
This 1643-nucleotide long non-coding RNA is filed under the name Homo sapiens (human). RNAcentral describes it as "non-protein coding ZNF341-AS1:9". The record is from RNAcentral. Lineage: Eukaryota; Metazoa; Chordata; Mammalia; Primates; Hominidae.